Long non-coding RNA from Peromyscus eremicus (cactus mouse), 443 nucleotides. RefSeq lists it as uncharacterized. The transcript is spliced from 3 exons. NCBI's taxonomy places the organism in Eukaryota, Metazoa, Chordata, Mammalia, Rodentia, Cricetidae. The record is from RefSeq and is a predicted model, not a curated record.
AGAAUCAGUGGUUCUAAUCAUUGGGAUCAUAGUCUAGAAUUGGGAGCGGUACCCCACCUGCUGCUAGAGGGGACUCUGAGUCCAUCUGAGAACAAAGGCACAGACAACAGCCACUUCUCUCAGGAAGAGGACCAUCGGUUUCCUCUGGCAGGCAUUCCAGAGAAAGCCCCCUUUUCUACUACCAACACCUUACAUACCCUGUGUUCUUCUCUGGACUUCUAUUAAUGAGCGAUUAUUCUGCUUUCCUCCCAGGUUGCAGAAAAUGACACUGUGGUCUCUGCCAUCCAUGUGUACAGAUGAUACGAGGAGUGAACAGCAUAGAUUCCCAGCAACACUCUCCUGGAAGAAGAUAAAACCACACCUUAUUGAGGGAUGGUGAAAGAGACUUUUGAAACCAGAAGAAAUUGUAUGCUGUGUCAUUAAACGUGAUUUCUUUUUAAGAA